CAGACUGGUACAGAUUGUAUGUGUCUGUCUGGUACCAUUCCUGAACAGCCACAAAUACCUGGUUUUCAUCUGUACUGAUUAUCUGUAAAUCUUUUGGCAAGGCAUAUUUUGGCAAUUUCAUCUGCACAAAGCCAUUUCGACGGUAGGAUACAUAAUACUUGGUCCGAUUUGCUGAUGUUGUCUGAAGGAAUAUGUAGUCAUCCUGCACAGUCAGGGAAUCCCGAUCAGUGCCACCAGCAAACUGGACUGUCAUUGUCUUAUCAGAACAAUUUUGAAUCUGGCAAGUGAUGUAACGAUAACCUCCACUGGGGUCCUGAAUUUCCAUAUGAACUAAAUCAGGG
This 341-nucleotide long non-coding RNA is filed under the name Gallus gallus (chicken). The record is from RNAcentral. Lineage: Eukaryota; Metazoa; Chordata; Aves; Galliformes; Phasianidae.